Molecule: long non-coding RNA, 352 nt
Organism: Balaenoptera ricei (Rice's whale)
Lineage: Eukaryota; Metazoa; Chordata; Mammalia; Artiodactyla; Balaenopteridae
Exons: 2
Source: RefSeq, a predicted model, not a curated record
CACAGAGGCCCCAUUCAGCCACUGGUCGGCGCUGCCGUGGGCCCCGCCCCCAAGCGAGCAACUGUCAAGGAGCCACCGUUUGAGGGGCGGUUUUGAGCCCCCGGUCGGCGGAGCGGUGGUCGUCCACUUGGAGAGUGAGAUUUACAGGAACAUCGUGACCUGACCAUGACCUGACCUCAAGGACAAAGGCUCUGACACCAAAAAGUGUGCACCAACUAACCGCGCCCCUCCCUCCCCUUUCCUAUAAAAGGGCUUUGCUGAUUGCUUUCAGGGAGUUUGGGGUUUUUUAAGGCGUGAGCCACCCAUCUCCUUGCAUGGCCCUGCAAUAAACCUUUCUGUGUUCCAGACUCCA